This 880-nucleotide ribosomal RNA is filed under the name uncultured eukaryote. Its description in RNAcentral is "SSU rRNA". It matches the Rfam family "Eukaryotic small subunit ribosomal RNA", at positions 574 to 1473 of the family's 1831-position model. The record is from RNAcentral.
CCGCGGUAAUUCCAGCUCCAAUAGCGUAUACUAAAGUUGUUGCGGUUAAAAAGCUCGUAGUUGGAUCUUGGAAUGUGUUCAAGCGGGUCAGCUUCUGGCUGUGCGCUGCUUGACGUGUUCUUCUAUUUGGUUUUGGUGUGGUGCGCUUAACUGCGUGUCGCUCCCGGCCGAAACGUUUACCUUGAAAAAAUUAGAGUGUUCAAAGCAGACCUGUUUGAGUCUGAAUAUUCGUGCAUGGAAUAAUGAAAUAUGAAUUCGGUUCUAUUUUGUUGGUUUUCGGAACUCGAGUUAAUGAUCAAGAGGGACAGACGGGGGCAUUCGUACUCUGCCGUUAGAGGUGAAAUUCUUGGAUCGGCGGAAGACGCGCAACUGCGAAAGCAUUUGCCAAGAAUGUUUUCUUUAAUCAAGAACGAUAGUCGGAGGUUCGAAGACGAUCAGAUACCGUCCUAGUUUCGACUGUAAACUAUGCCAGCUAACGAUCAGACAGAGUUCUCUACGACUUGUCUGGCAGUUUCCGGGAAACCAAAGCGUUUGGGUUCCGGGGGAAGUAUGGUUGCAAAGCUGAAACUUAAAGGAAUUGACGGAAGGGCACCACCAGGAGUGGAGCCUGCGGCUUAAUUUGACUCAACACGGGGAAACUCACCCGGCCCGGACACAGUGAGGAUUGACAGAUUGAGAGUUCUUUCUUGAUUCUGUGGGUGGUGGUGCAUGGCCGUUCUUAGUUGGUGGAGCGAUUUGUCUGGUUAAUUCCGAUAACGAACGAGACUCUGGCAUGUUAAAUAGUCGCGGAAGUGCGUAUGCACUUGCCGAAUUGACUUCUUAGAGGGACUAGUGAUUUUAAUUCACACGAGAUUGAGCAAUAACAGGUCUGUGAUGCCCA